This 468-nucleotide ribosomal RNA is filed under the name uncultured bacterium. Its description in RNAcentral is "partial 16S ribosomal RNA". It matches the Rfam family "Bacterial small subunit ribosomal RNA", at positions 28 to 507 of the family's 1533-position model. The record is from RNAcentral.
GACGAACGCUGGCGGCGUGCUUAACACAUGCAAGUCGAACGGAAAGGCCCUGCUUUUGUGGGGUGCUCGAGUGGCGAACGGGUGAGUAACACGUGAGUAACCUGCCCUUGACUUUGGGAUAACUUCAGGAAACUGGGGCUAAUACCGGAUAGGAGCUCCUGCUGCAUGGUGGGGGUUGGAAAGUUUCGGCGGUUGGGGAUGGACUAGCGGCUUACCAGCUUGUUGGUGGGGUAGUGGCUUACCAAGGCUUUGGCGGGUAGCCGGCCUGAGAGGGUGACCGGCCACAUUGAGACUGAGAUACGGCCCAGACUCCUACGGGAGGCAGCAGUGGGGAAUAUUGCACAAUGGGCGGAAGCCUGAUGCAGCAACGCCGCGUGCGGGAUGACGGCCUUCGGGUUGUAAACCGCUUUCGCCUGUGACGAAGCGUGAGUGACGGUAAUGGGUAAAGAAGCACCGGCUAACUACGUG